UGACCACUCCCGCUUGCGGGGUCUUGGGCCUUCGCCUCUGGGCGGGCCUUAAAAUCAGUGGCGGUGCCGUCCGGCUCUAAGCGUAGUAAAUCUCCUCGCUAUAGGGUUCCGGAGGGAUGCUGGCCAACAACCCCCAACUUUUAA
Molecule: unclassified non-coding RNA, 144 nt
Filed under: Roesleria subterranea
Lineage: Eukaryota; Fungi; Ascomycota; Leotiomycetes; Helotiales
Also listed under: 1 other name
Description: partial internal transcribed spacer 2
Source: RNAcentral